AGUGUUGAAAGUAAUUAUGAUGUAAAACAUGAACUUAACCAAAAAGUAGUUGUUGUUUAAUGACUAAAUUGAGGUAUUGGGACAGUUACAAGGUGUUUGCCGUUUGUCAACAAAACAACAGCCAUGGGCUUGUUAUAAUUAAAAUGCGUGGUUGUCGACUUUUUUCUCUCAAUAUACGGUCAUAAUUUAGACAAGUUCGUGCUUGCGUCAAUUUCUUUAAUCCAGUCAUGUUUUUGUACCAAUUUGUUCUACGAUUCUUGCGCUUUGGAUAAUCAUUCAAAGUCCAAUUAUUCCUGACACAAAGUCAUUGUACAAAAUAAAGAAAAAAAACACGUGUUUUCGAUUCACUUGUGACUACCGCAAUUUGCGUUCAAGGACAAGGCAUUUUACUCGUAACUCAAAUAAUUCAUGCCCUUCUCGUUAUCAAUCUCUAUUCUCGGUAUAUGAUGUUGUCAUCAUAGAGCAGCAGAAUAUGUCGACUUAAUCAUUUUCGUUAGAAGUUACUCGAUUCAAUACAAAAACGAAAUUUGAAACAGGAAGUUUGAAUGAAACGAAUUAUCGAUGGUUCCCGGUAACAAACAUGAACAAAAUCCGGAAAUCGUAUUUUUGUUAAAUAAAAAAAAUCGGGGCGGGACGAUUUGAGAGGGGCGGGCGGGGAUGAAAAUCUAGCAAUUAAUUUAAUUGGCCUAAGCAAUAGGUCAACUAUAUUUGUUGUUUGGAAGCAUUGUAAGCUGUACAUGUCUAACNNNNNNNNNNNNNNNNNNNNNNNNNGAGUAAACCGCCGCGUUAACUUUUAAGGCCCGUUUACAUAUAAUGCUUGGUCUGCACCCAACUGUAUUAGAAGUUUUUUUUUUAUAAAAUUUAAAAGAAUGGCAGAGAAAUCGUACGGAAAUUUUAUUUGCAUUGUUAAAAAUAACCAAAAAUUCUUCUAUCUUUUUAUUAAAAAUUGAAUACUUUUUAUUUGAAAUCAGUUAUUUUUACCAUCUUGAGGCAAGUCUGCUAAUCAGAAUUCAGAUAUAAUGAGAAUUAAAAUACUUAAAUUUUAUUUUUGUGAAUAAGAAUGAGUAUUGAUUAUUUUGAUACAAAUUAUUAACCGUCAUAUGAUUUCAGUACUUUUUGUACAUCAGGAUGGCUGUUCUUCAUAAAAAUCAUGCUUACUUUUAGGAAAAGAUAUAAAAUUUUUGUACGCGUUUCCUUAAUGCAAAUAUUGUUUCAUUUUUACUUGAAAUUAUUGACCGCCAUUGGAUUUUGUACUUUUAUAGUUGAGAAUAGUUUUUUUCAUAAAUUUUAAAUUAUAUCAGAAAAAUCAUACUAAAAUUUUGUUCGCAUGUUUAAAAUAAUCAAAAUUAUUCUUCUUUUUAUCAAAAAUGAUACUAUUUUAUUUGAAAUCAGUUUUUUUUACCCAUCUUGAGACAAGUUCUUAAUCAGAAUUCAGAUAUAAUGAGAAAUUAAAAUACUUAAACUUUUAUUUUUGUGGAAUAAGAACAGUUAUUGAUUUAUUUGAUACAAAUUAUUAACGUCAUAUGAUUUCAGUACUUUUUGAACAUCAGGAUUGGCUGUUCUUCAUAAAAUAUGCUUACUUUUAGAAAAAGAUAUAAAAUUUUUGUACGCGUUCCUAAAAUGCAAAUAUUUCUUCAUUUAACUGAAAAUUAUUGACCGCCAUUGGAUUUUUGUACUUUUUAUAGUUUAAGAAUAGUUUUUUUUCAUAAAUUAAAGAAUAUCAGAAAAAUCAUACUAAAAUUUUGUUCGCAUUGUUUAAAAUAAUCAAAAUUAUUCUUCUUUUUAUCAAAAAUGAUACUAUUUUAUUUGAAAUCAGUUAUUUUUACCUUUUUGAGACAAGUCUUCUAAUCAGAAUUCAGAUAUAAUGAGAAUUAAAAUACUUAAACUUUUAUUUUUGUGGAAUAAGAAUGUAGUUAUUGAUUUAUUUUGAUGCAUAUUAUUAACUGUCAUAUGAUUUCAGUACUUUUUGUACAUAAUGAUGGCUGUUCUUUCAUUUAAAAUAAUCUAUACUUAGCCCACUAAAAUUAAUUAGUAGAUUUUCAUCCAAUUUUUGUUUUUAAAAUGGGCGGGUGGGAGGAUUUUAUUUUUUAAAUUUUAUUUCAUAUGAAACCCUCGUCACGAGUCUCUUCAUACACGCGGGUAUAUACUAGUGGAAAACAAGCUUGUAUAAUGUAUAUAUAAUGAUGUAAAAGAAAUCUCACUAUUUUUUGAACUCUUAAAAAAAUCCCUGAUUGGCAACACUGUUAUACAUGUAAUUGCCGCUUUAGAAACCUAUUUAUAGUAUACAUCAAAAAAGAAGAUAAAUGCUCUCUUCAGUUGGACUAUACCUACACCAAUAUUUUGCUUUCUAAGCAAUGGUUUGUAGUACCAUAAAAUCAAUAAAUGUAUACGUUUUUGAAUGCGCUGUUAUUUGAUAUUUGCCAUGUGAUUAUGGACUUUCCAAUUAAUUUCCUCUAAGUUCAGUAUUUUUGUGAUUACUUUUUGGUACAAUGUAUGCAACACAAGUAUUAUGAGUACAGAAUAAAAUGUAAACGCAGUGUUGAAAGUAAUUAUGAUGAAAACAUGAACUAACCAAAAAGUAUUGUUGUUUAAUGACUAAAUUGAGGUAUUGGGACAGUUACAAGGGUGUUUUGCCGUUUGUCAACAAAACAACAGCCAUGGCUUGUUAAUAAUUAAAAUGCCGGUUUGUCGACUUUUUUCUCUCAAUAUACGGUCAUAAUUUAAACAAGUUCGUGCUUGCGUCAAUUUCUUUUAAUCCAGUCAUGUUUUUGUACCAAUUUGUUCUACGAUUCUUGCGCUUUGGAUAAUCAUUCAAAGUCCAAAUUUCCUGACACAAAUUCAUUGUACAAAUAAAAAAAAACACGGUUUUCGAUUCACUUGUGACUACCGCAAUUUGCGUUCAAGGACAAGGCCAUUUUACUCGUUAACUCAAAUAUUCAUGCCCUUCUCGUUAUCAAUCUCUAUUCUCGGUAUAUGAUGUUGUCAUCAUAGAGCAGCAGAAUAUGUCGACUUAAUCAUUUUCGUUAGAAGUUACUCGAUUCAAUGCAAAAACGAAAUUUGAAACAGGAAGUUUUGAAUGAAACGAAAAUUAUCGAUGGUUCCCGUAACAGACAUGACAAAAUCCGGAAAUCGUAUUUUUGUUAAAUAAAAAAAUCGGGGCGGACGAUUUGAGAGGGGCGGCGGGGAUGAAAAUCUAGCAAUUAAUUUAAUAUGCCGUUAAGGAAAAAAUAUUAAUUUUUGCACCCGUUGCCCAAAAAUGCAAAUAUUUCGUCAUUUUACUGAAAAUUAUUGACCGCCAUUGGAUUUUGUACUUAUUAUUAGUUGAGAAUAGUUUUUUUUCAUAAAUUUAAAUGAUAAUCAGAAAAUCAUAUUAAAAUUUAGUUCGCAUUGUUAAAAUAUAAAAAAAGAUAUAAAAUUUUUGUACGCGUUUCCUAAAAUGCAAAUAUUGUUUCAUUUUACUGAAAAUUAUUGACCGCCAUUGGAUUUUUAUACUUUUUAUAGUUAAGAAUAGUUUUUUUUUCAUAAAAUUAAAAUAAUAUCAGAAAAAUCAUACUAAAAUUUUGUUUGCAUUGUUUAAAAUAAUCAAAAUUAUUCUUCUUUUUAUUAAAAAUGAUACUAUUUUAUUUGAAAUCAGUUAUUUUUACCAUCUUGAGACAAGUCUUCUAGUCAGAAUUCAGAUAUAGUGAGAAUUAAAAUACUUAAACUUUUAUUUUUGUGGAAUAAGAAUGUAGUUAUCUGAUUUAUUUUGUAAUAUAAAUUAUAACCGUCAAUGAUUCAGUACUUUUUGUACAUCAGGAGUCUGGUGCUUCAUAAAAUGCUUACUUUUAGGAAAAAUACUUAAUUUUUGUACGCGUUCCUAAAAUGCAAAUAUUGUUUAUUUACUGAAAAUUAUUUGACGCAUUGGAUUUUUGUACUUUUUAUUUUAAGAAUAGUUUUUUUUUCAUAAAUGAAAAGAAUAUCAGAAAAAUCAUACUUUUAAAAAAAUUUUUUUGUUUGCAUUGUUUAAAAUAAUCAAAAUUAUUCUUCUUUUAUCAAAAUGAUACUAUUUUAUUUGAAAUCAGUUAUUUUUACCAUCUUGAGACAAGUCUUCUAAUUAGAAUUGAGAUACAAUGAGAAUUAAAAUACUUAAACUUUUAUUUUUGUGGAAUGAGAAUGUUAGUUAUUGAAUUUAUUGAUGGCAUAUUAUAAGCUGUCAUAAGGAUUUCAGUACUUUUUGUACAGAUAGAUUGGCUGUUCUUCAUAAAAUAAUCUUACUAGGCCAACUAAAGUUAAUUAGUAGAUUUCAUCCAAUUUUUGAAAAACAUGGGGCGGGUGGGAGGAUUUUAUUUUUUAAAUUUUAUUUCAUAUGAAACCCUUGUCACAAGUUCUUCAUACCGCGGGGUAUAUGCUAGUGGAAAACAAGCUUGUAUAAUGUAUAUAUACAUGUUGUAUAAGGAAUCUGACACUAUUUUUUAAACUCUUAAAUAAAAAUCCCUGAUUGGCAACCACUGUUAUACAUGUAAUUGCCGCUUUAGAAACCUAUUUAUAGUAUACAUCAAAGGGAAGAGAGAAAUGCUCUCUUCAGUUGGACUAGACCUACACCAAAUUUAUUUUGCUUUCUAAGCAAUGGUUUGUAGUCCACAUAAAAUCAUAAAAUAAAAUGUAAUGUAUUGGUACAAUUGUAUGCAACACAAGUAUUAUGAGUACAAAAUAAAAUGUAAACUCAGUGUGGAAAGUAAUUAUGUGAUGUAAAACAUGAACUUAACCAAAAAGUAGUUUUUUUAAUGACUAAAUUGAGGGUAUUGGGACAGUUACAGAGGGUGUUUGCUGUUUGUCAACAAAAACAACAGCUAUAUAUAAGGGAAUUAAAAUGCGUGUUUGUCGACUUUUUUUUCUCAAUAUACGGUCAUAAAUCAAACAAAUUCGUGCUUGUGUCAAUUUCUUUAAUCCAGUCAUGUUUUUUGUACCAAUUUGUUCUACGAUUCUUGCGCUUUGGAUAUCAUUUACAGUCCAAAUUUCCUGACACAAAGUCAUCGUAUAAAUAAAGAAAAAACACGGUUUUCGAUUCACUUGUGACUACCGCAAUUUGCGUUAAAUGACAAGGCGUUUUACUCGUUACUCGAAUAUUUCAUGCCCUUCUCGUUAUCAAUCUCUAUUCUCGGUAGAUGUUGUCAUAAUAGAGCAGCAGAAUAUGUCGACUCAAUCAUAUCGUUAUUAGAUUACUCGGAGAAAUACAAAAACGAAAUUUGAAACAGGAAGUGUUGAAUGAAACGAAAUUAUCGAUGGUUCCGGUAA
RNAcentral lists this long non-coding RNA (5274 nucleotides) under Mytilus galloprovincialis (Mediterranean mussel). The record is from RNAcentral. Lineage: Eukaryota; Metazoa; Mollusca; Bivalvia; Mytilida; Mytilidae.